This 468-nucleotide ribosomal RNA is filed under the name uncultured bacterium. RNAcentral's name for it is "partial 16S ribosomal RNA". It matches the Rfam family "Bacterial small subunit ribosomal RNA", at positions 28 to 507 of the family's 1533-position model. The record is from RNAcentral.
GACGAACGCUGGCGGUGUGCUUAACACAUGCAAGUCGAACGGAAAGGCCCUGCUUUUGUGGGGUGCUCGAGUGGCGAACGGGUGAGUAACACGUGAGUAACCUGCCCUUGACUUUGGGAUAACUUCAGGAAACUGGGGCUAAUACCGGAUAGGAGCUCCUGCUGCAUGGUGGGGAUUGGAAAGUUUCGGCGGUUGGGGAUGGACUCGCGGCUUAUCAGCUUGUUGGUGGGGUAGUGGCUUACCAAGGCUUUGACGGGUAGCCGGCCUGAGAGGGUGACCGGCCACAUUGGGACUGAGAUACGGCCCAGACUCCUACGGGAGGCAGCAGUGGGGAAUAUUGCACAAUGGGCGGAAGCCUGAUGCAGCAACGCCGCGUGCGGGAUGACGGCCUUCGGGUUGUAAACCGCUUUCGCCUGUGACGAAGCGUGAGUGACGGUAAUGGGUAAAGAAGCACCGGCUAACUACGUG